GUAGGUGGCAAGCGUUGUCCGGAAUUAUUGGGGCGUAAAGCGCGCGCAGGCGGUUCUUUAAGUCUGAUGUGAAAGCCCACGGGCUCAACCGUGGAGGGUCAUUGGAAACUGGAGAACUUGAGUACAGAAGAGGAAAGCGGAAUUCCACGUGUAGCGGUGAAAUGCGUAGAGAUGUGGAGGAACACCAGUGGCGAAGGCGGCUUUCUGGUCUGUAACUGACGCUGAGGCGCGAAAGCGUGGGGAGCAAACAGGACUAGAUACCCUGGUAGUCCACGCCGUAAACGAUGAGUGCUAAGUGUUAGGGGGUUUCCGCCCCUUAGUGCUGCAGCUAACGCAUUAAGCACUCCGCCUGGGGAGUACGGCCGCAAAGGCUG
RNAcentral lists this ribosomal RNA (374 nucleotides) under uncultured organism. RNAcentral's name for it is "partial 16S ribosomal RNA". It matches the Rfam family "Bacterial small subunit ribosomal RNA", at positions 527 to 896 of the family's 1533-position model. The record is from RNAcentral.